Molecule: non-coding RNA, 28 nt
Filed under: Bombyx mori (domestic silkworm)
Lineage: Eukaryota; Metazoa; Arthropoda; Insecta; Lepidoptera; Bombycidae
Source: RNAcentral
UGAGUGGAGAAAACGCGAGUGCAGCUGU